This 492-nucleotide ribosomal RNA is filed under the name uncultured bacterium. RNAcentral describes it as "partial 16S ribosomal RNA". It matches the Rfam family "Bacterial small subunit ribosomal RNA", at positions 29 to 507 of the family's 1533-position model. The record is from RNAcentral.
AGUGAACGCUGGCGGCAGGCCUAACACAUGCAAGUCGAACGGCAGCACAGUAAGCGUUUGCUCUUACGGGUGGCGAGUGGCGGACGGGUGAGGAAUACAUCGGAAUCUACUUUUUCGUGGGUGAUAACGUAGGGAAACUUACGCUAAUACCGCAUACGACCUACGGGUGAAAGCAGGGGAUCUUCGGACCUUGCGCGAUUGAAUGAGCCGAUGCCGGACUAGCUUGUUGGCGGGGUAAAGGCCCACCAAGGCGACGAUCCGUAGCGGGCCUGAGAGGAUGACAGGCCAGACAGGAACUGAGACCGGGUCCCGCCUCCUACGGGAGGCAGAAGCGGGGAAUCUUCCGCAAUGGGCGCAAGCUUGACCCAGCAAUGCCGCGUGAGUGAGGAAGGCCUUGGGUUCGUAAAGCUCUUUUAUUAGGAAAGAAAAACGGGGGAAGAAUCCCCGCUCGUCCUGACGGUACCCAAAAAGAAAGCCCCGGCUAACUACGUG